CAGGCAGCUGGCCUCCCCCGGAUUGAAGAUUCUGACAGGAGCCCUCUCCAUGCACCUCCAGUCCCUCUCUGAGCACGUCUCAGCUAUUUAUUUGGUACCUAAUAUGUGCUGGACCUUCUGCUUGGUGCUGAGCACACAGGCCCCCAGACUGUGAGGCUCUCAUGCAGUCAUGGUGAUGAUGUGCAAGUAUGGUUUGACAGAGCUGGGAAGCAAAUAUUAUCUUAAAUAAAUCUACUCUUCGGAAGCUUUUCAGGUAAAGAAAUCCUACAAAUAAAAAGUGAAGAUGGACAACCCAAAAGAAAAACUUUUCAGGACAAAGCAUCUGAAACAAAUGUGUUUAAAAGA
Homo sapiens (human) is the source of this 345-nucleotide long non-coding RNA. RefSeq lists it as uncharacterized. The transcript is spliced from 5 exons. The record is from RefSeq and is a predicted model, not a curated record. NCBI's taxonomy places the organism in Eukaryota, Metazoa, Chordata, Mammalia, Primates, Hominidae.